Molecule: long non-coding RNA, 1187 nt
Organism: Drosophila novamexicana
Lineage: Eukaryota; Metazoa; Arthropoda; Insecta; Diptera; Drosophilidae
Exons: 3
Source: RefSeq, a predicted model, not a curated record
UCAUAAGGAUGGGGAGUACAACAAUAGAAUUUAACAAAAACACAAAUUAAAAAAAAAUUUUUAAAAAAAUUGUUCUUAAGCUAAAAGUGAUUGUGAUUUUAGAAAAAACAUACGAAAAUCUAAAAUGUAUCGUUGCAUUCCCCCUUUUUGUCGCAUACACGGACAUUUACUGUGCAUAAUAAAACGCACCUACACACUGAAAAAUAUUUCCUAACACGCCGACAUGUAUAUUACGAAAAACUCGUACUGAUAUUCACACACUUAAAUAUGUGCACAAACGUGUUAACCAACACUACGAUGUAAUGACAACUUAAAAGCCAUAAAUUCAACACAAGCUUAUUACACAUAGGUAUUGUCCAACACUUAAUAAAAAAAAUAGAUGUUAAAAUUCACUCUAAGCUACGCACACUGUCGUACUGCGCAACACUACAAUGUAUAAAUGUAAAUGUAACUAUUCACAUACUCGUACUAUCCAACACUGUGAGGUAGGCUGACUCGGAAACACACACUUAUAUUGACCAAUACAACGACUUAUACACAACUCGCUGCACGAAUUGAUAUUCACACCGAACUAUGCACCAUAACCUAUUGCCUAACACUACGACGUUUAACACUAGCACCGCGCACUAACUAGACGAGAUGCCUGGACUGUAUCUAUGGCACCACAAUGGACCUACGAUCGAGCGGACUGCAUUAUUAAAACUAAGUUUGCACCAUUAAAGCUUGAUAUGAAUAUGCAAAUUAGAAUUUCUGCUGGUAACGCAAAGUACUCUAUUGAAGGUUUCCAAAUUUUGCUAUGUUUAAGCAAAUAUGUAUACAAAAUUAUUAAAAGUAAUACAAGAAGUAGUUUGAUAUCAUUUACAUUAACAUACGAUGCACCUCAAAUAAUCGACCACAACUGAAUCCCAAGAGAUCUGCUUAGAGGGUAUGUUCCGGUCGCUCACUCCAGCAACACCCGACUGGUAUUUUGAUUUGGUCAUUGCAUUCAAAUAAAAUAUCAAGUUGCCAUCGCGCACGACGUCUGCUGCUGGCCGACUUUUUUGCGAUUUUCAAUCUGGCCGCCGUAAUGCCAACUGUCAAAUGUGAGAUAGAGAAAACAAGCGGCAAGCAAAUCCAGAGACAGAAAACCGCAUUGCGAAUUUUGUCCAGGAGCCCCCCUUCAUAAACUUUUAAACCAACAAAACUUG